This 432-nucleotide ribosomal RNA is filed under the name uncultured bacterium. RNAcentral describes it as "bacterial SSU rRNA". It matches the Rfam family "Bacterial small subunit ribosomal RNA", at positions 8 to 444 of the family's 1533-position model. The record is from RNAcentral.
AGAGUUUGAUCCUGGCUCAGAUUGAACGCUGGCGGCAUGCCUUACACAUGCAAGUCGAACGGCAGCGCGGGGCAACCUGGCGGCGAGUGGCGAACGGGUGAGUAAUAUAUCGGAACGUGCCCUGGAGUGGGGGAUAACGCAGCGAAAGUUGCGCUAAUACCGCAUACGAUCUAAGGAUGAAAGCAGGGGACCGCAAGGCCUUGUGCUCCUGGGGCGGCCGAUAUCUGAUUAGCUAGUUGGUGGGGUAAAGGCCUACCAAGGCAUCGAUCAGUAGCUGGUCUGAGAGGACGACCAGCCACACUGGAACUGAGACACGGUCCAGACUCCUACGGGAGGCAGCAGUGGGGAAUUUUGGACAAUGGGCGAAAGCCUGAUCCAGCAAUGCCGCGUGAGUGAAGAAGGCCUUCGGGUUGUAAAGCUCUUUUGUCAGGG